This 431-nucleotide ribosomal RNA is filed under the name uncultured bacterium. RNAcentral's name for it is "bacterial SSU rRNA". It matches the Rfam family "Bacterial small subunit ribosomal RNA", at positions 355 to 796 of the family's 1533-position model. The record is from RNAcentral.
UCGAGGAUCUUCGGCAAUGGGCGCAAGCCUGACCGAGCGACGCCGCGUGCGCGAAGAAGGCCUUCGGGUUGUAAAGCGCUGUCGAGGGGGAGGAAGCCGCAAGGUUGACCUAUCCCUGGAGGAAGCACGGGCUAAGUUCGUGCCAGCAGCCGCGGUAAGACGAACCGUGCAAACGUUGUUCGGAAUCACUGGGCUUAAAGGGCGCGUAGGCGGACAACCAAGUCAGGGGUGAAAUCUUUCGGCUUAACCGGAAAACAGCUUUUGAUACUGGUUGUCUUGAGGGAGGUAGGGGCAUGUGGAACUUCCGGUGGAGCGGUGAAAUGCGUUGAUAUCGGAAGGAACGCCGGUGGCGAAAGCGACGUGCUGGACCUCUUCUGACGCUGAGGCGCGAAAGCUAGGGGAGCGAACGGGAUUAGAUACCCCGGUAGUCC